CCCCUGGAGGACUAGUGGUUAGGCCACUGCGCUCUCACCGCUGCGCCCUAGGUUCGAUUCCCAGCCAGGGAA
This 72-nucleotide transfer RNA is filed under the name Pangasianodon gigas (Mekong giant catfish). RNAcentral's name for it is "tRNA-Glu". It matches the Rfam family "tRNA". Rfam says of the family: Transfer RNA (tRNA) molecules are approximately 80 nucleotides in length. Their secondary structure includes four short double-helical elements and three loops (D, anti-codon, and T loops). The record is from RNAcentral. Lineage: Eukaryota; Metazoa; Chordata; Actinopteri; Siluriformes; Pangasiidae.